Molecule: ribosomal RNA, 449 nt
Filed under: uncultured bacterium
Lineage: Bacteria
Description: partial 16S ribosomal RNA
Rfam family: Bacterial small subunit ribosomal RNA
Source: RNAcentral
AACGAACGCUGGCGGCAUGCCUAACACAUGCAAGUCGAACGAAGCCUUCGGGCUUAGUGGCGCACGGGUGCGUAACGCGUGGGAAUCUGCCCUUUGGUUCGGAAUAACAGUUGGAAACGACUGCUAAUACCGGAUGAUGACGAAAGUCCAAAGAUUUAUCGCCAGAGGAUGAGCCCGCGUAGGAUUAGCUAGUUGGUGUGGUAAAGGCGCACCAAGGCGACGAUCCUUAGCUGGUCUGAGAGGAUGAUCAGCCACACGGGGACUGAGACACGGCCCAGACUCCUAUGGGAGGCAGCAGUGGGGAAUAUUGGACAAUGGGCGAAAGCCUGAUCCAGCAAUGCCGCGUGAGUGAUGAAGGCCCUAGGGUUGUAAAGCUCUUUUACCCGGGAUGAUAAUGACAGUACCGGGAGAAUAAGCCCCGGCUAACUCCGUGCCAGCCGCCGCCGUAA